This is a long non-coding RNA of Homo sapiens (human), 1370 nucleotides long. The record is from Ensembl. NCBI's taxonomy places the organism in Eukaryota, Metazoa, Chordata, Mammalia, Primates, Hominidae.
GGUACCUACGUCAUUUGAAAAUCUCUGAGCCAAUUCAUUUGUUUCUACCUGUGGAACAUCUGUUUAGCCUUGGGCAGUUGUUUUCCAGAAUUACCUCAAAGGAAAGCACAACAGUCAGACGUGAAAUGGAAACAGAAAAAUCUUCUGAAGCAGAAUAGUAACGCUGUGAAUUUAAAAGUAAUGGAUUUACAUUGACAACAUGCACAACAGGCUCAUGUAAAAGGAUUAUCUGAUGUGUCAUCAUGACUUAAUGAAGAACGCAAAUGCUUCUCGAUGAAAUUGAAGUAAAAAGAGGAAACAGAAGGGAAAAUGAGAGUCUAAAAAGAAACAAAGAGAAGUUAACUUUUAAGAGAUGACAAAUUCUACCUGCCACGAUGUUUUAUUUUAAUCUGAAAGAAAUUAUAAAGCUGAUACUUUCUGAAAAUAUAUCCUUUUACAGUAAAUAUUCUUGUGAAAUCUGCCAACCUACUUUUGUUUUAUUUCAAAAGCUUUUGUACCUCUCCAGACUAAACAAAAUACUUAAAAGAUGAUAUGGACAUUUAAAAAUAUUGUACUUAAAAAUAGAGAAGAAUAAAAAUCAAGAAUUCAUUCAAAAGAAUAGUGAAUUCAAAUAACUUUCAAAUGUUAUUCUAAUUUAUGAGUUGCUGCUACAUCGAUCUUCCUACUGAAAACAAAAAUAUCUGUUGCUGACAUCUACCAAAAAGUGAAUUUUUUCCCCAAAUUGAGCUGAGUCCACCUGUUUUGGUAAUGAGUUAGAGAAAUAUAUUCUGUUCUUUUUUAGAAGCUCCAUCAGAGUGGAAGACAUUUAUGAACUAUAUAAAUGUCUCAUUAGACUCCGUCUCAAAAAAAAAAAAGAAAUGUCUCAUUAAUUUUUAGUUAUUGGUUUCUCAUUCUAUGACCCAGAGUCAUGAAAAUUUCAGAAAACCACAGGUUAUUUGUUGAGUGUUCAAAUUGCAUAAUUAAAUAACUGUCAUUGUUGGGAAAGGAGAAUGAUAUGGAAGACAUAGCCCACACUUGGCUCUUGAAAAGUUUACCACUGAACUGAGCUAACAGAUAAAACUUCAUCAAUUUCUUAUCACUGAACCUGAGGGUUACACACAGCUGCACACAUCCUUGCUCUGUAACUCUUUCUGUGAGAGAGGACAUGUGUAACUUCCUAUCUAAGGUCAAUCCCUUUAUCCCUCUUCUGAGAGCUGCAAUGGAGAUCCAGAACACAGUGGAAGAAUAUAUUGAAAUAUGUGUAUCUAAGGUGUUCUAUAAAUUCUCAUUUCAAUGGGCUGUCCCUUAGAUAACCAACACUCAUAUGUUGUUUCAUUUCUCAAUGCAUCUUACUGUGUUCCAUAUUACUUUGAGUCUAAUGGAAUGUACCA